RNAcentral lists this ribosomal RNA (402 nucleotides) under uncultured bacterium. RNAcentral's name for it is "bacterial SSU rRNA". It matches the Rfam family "Bacterial small subunit ribosomal RNA", at positions 356 to 773 of the family's 1533-position model. The record is from RNAcentral.
GAGGAAUCUUCCACAAUGGGCGAAAGCCUGAUGGAGCAACGCCGCGUGAAGGAUGAAGGUCUUCGGAUUGUAAACUUCUUUUAUGAGUGAAGAAUAUGACGGUAACUCAUGAAUAAGCACCGGCUAACUACGUGCCAGCAGCCGCGGUCAUACGUAGGGUGCAAGCAUUAUCCGGAGUGACUGGGCGUAAAGAGUUGCGUAGGUGGUUUAUUAAGUGAAUAGUGAAAGCUGGAGGCUCAACCUUACAGACUAUUAUUCGAACUGGUAAACUCGAGAAUGGUAGAGGUAACUGGAAUUUCUUGUGUAGGAGUGAAAUCCGUAGAUAUAAGAAGGAACACCAAUGGCGUAGGCAGGUUACUGGACCAUUUCUGACACUAAGGCACGAAAGCGUGGGGAGCGAAC